AGUGAACGCUGGCGGUAGGCCUAACACAUGCAAGUCGAACGGCAGCACAGUAAGAGCUUGCUCUUACGGGUGGCGAGUGGCGGACGGGUGAGGAAUACAUCGGAAUCUACUUUUUCGUGGGGGAUAACGUAGGGAAACUUACGCUAAUACCGCAUACGACCUACGGGUGAAAGCAGGGGAUCUUCGGACCUUGCGCGAUUGAAUGAGCCGAUGUCGGAUUAGCUAGUUGGCGGGGUAAAGGCCCACCAAGCCGACGAUCCGUAGCUGGUCUGAGAGGAUGAUCAGCCACACUGGAACUGAGACACGGUCCAGACUCCUACGGGAGGCAGCAGUGAGGAAUAUUAGACAAUGGGCGCAAGCCUGAUCCAGCCAUACCGCGUGGGUGAAGAAGGCCUUCGGGUUGUAAAGCCCUUUUGUUGGGAAAGAAAAGCAGCAGAUUAAUACCCCGCUGUUCUGACGGUACCCAAAGAAUAAGCACCGGCUAACUUCGUG
RNAcentral lists this ribosomal RNA (492 nucleotides) under uncultured bacterium. Its description in RNAcentral is "partial 16S ribosomal RNA". It matches the Rfam family "Bacterial small subunit ribosomal RNA", at positions 29 to 507 of the family's 1533-position model. The record is from RNAcentral.